RNAcentral lists this ribosomal RNA (481 nucleotides) under uncultured bacterium. RNAcentral's name for it is "bacterial SSU rRNA". It matches the Rfam family "Bacterial small subunit ribosomal RNA", at positions 32 to 524 of the family's 1533-position model. The record is from RNAcentral.
AAUCAACGCUGGCGGCGUGCCUCAGACAUGCAAGUCGAACGCGAAAGUUUCCUUCGGGAAGCGAGUAGAGUGGCGCACGGGUGAGUAACACGUAAGUAAUCUACCCUUGGGUGGGGAAUAACAUCGGGAAACCGAUGCUAAUACCGCAUAAUGCAGCGGCUUCAUAUGAAGACAGUUGUUAAAGCAUUUAUGUGCCUAAGGAGGAGCUUGCGGCAGAUUAGCAGUUGGUAAGGUAACGGCUUACCAAGGCAACGAUCUGUAGCCGACCUGAGAGGGUGGUCGGUCACACUGACACUGAAUAACGGGUCAGACUCCUACGGGAGGCAGCAGUCGGGAAUUUUGGGCAAUGGGCGCAAGCCUGACCCAGCAACGCCGCGUGAAGGAUGAAGUAUUCGGUAUGUAAACUUCGUAAAAAUAGGAAGAAUAAAUGACGGUACUAUUUGUAAGGUCCGGCUAACUACGUGCCAGCAGCCGCGGUAAU